GGCCCCGCGUCUCGUCAGCGCUAGUAGGCAGUAGCGCUAGCUAAUAGAGUCCCAUGUUGUUUCCUAUUCAUGUUCUCGGGCGGGCGCACCUGCAAGGAAUUAGCAAUUACGUCAAACGCAGGUUGGCCGCCUUGCUUCGUCACGGGGUCGGCACACGGCGGGCUCUUGACCGGACAGCGGGCGAAUGACGGAAAGCGAUUCAACCUGGCGUCUGGAGCAGCCCCAUGCUGCACAACUUGGCCUUUUCACAUGUUCAAAAGCUAAAGAGGAAGUGCUGCGGACACACGGCAUCAGCUCAAAGUUGGGAGAAGUCAUGGUGCCCUGGACUCAUCCUGGCUGACUUGGCAGUACGAGGAUACAGGGGCUCAUUGUUCUUCCACCAUCGAACCCUGCCUGACUCGCCAAGGAGAGGCUGCUUGAAUGCGGUGGUGACACUUCAAAUGGGUUAGCAUGUGUUAUGAGAGUAGCAUUUGUACGUGUGUGGCCCUUUAAUAUGUGACAGCAUGUGAGGUGAGUGUGUGAGCGAGCGGUAGUGAGUGUGGGGAGUGGCUAGUGUUUUGUUGGAUUGGC
Molecule: long non-coding RNA, 570 nt
Organism: Nerophis ophidion (straightnose pipefish)
Lineage: Eukaryota; Metazoa; Chordata; Actinopteri; Syngnathiformes; Syngnathidae
Exons: 4
Source: RefSeq, a predicted model, not a curated record